RNAcentral lists this antisense RNA (104 nucleotides) under gamma proteobacterium HTCC5015. RNAcentral describes it as "Vibrio RNA AS9". It matches the Rfam family "Vibrio RNA AS9". From Rfam's summary of the family: Identified by direct cloning an parallel sequencing experiments with 5S/tRNA depletion. Confirmed by Northern blot. The record is from Rfam by way of RNAcentral. Lineage: Bacteria; Pseudomonadati; Pseudomonadota; Gammaproteobacteria.
CUGCCGACAACGCUGUUCAGUCAGUGUUAGGCAGAUGAGACCGCGACCGUGGGUCGCCAUAAAAUUGAUGGCCUCGGGCGUAAUAUGCUCGGCAGCCAUGAGCA